UAGCAGCACGUAAAUACUGGAGUUUAGGAUUGCCUAGCUGCUCUCCAGUAUUGCAUUGCUGCUUUA
This 66-nucleotide microRNA precursor is filed under the name Chrysemys picta bellii (western painted turtle). RNAcentral describes it as "Cpi-Mir-15-P2c_pre stem-loop". It matches the Rfam family "mir-16 microRNA precursor family", at positions 10 to 75 of the family's 82-position model. From Rfam's summary of the family: The hairpin precursors (represented here) are predicted based on base pairing and cross-species conservation -- their extents are not known. Lineage: Eukaryota; Metazoa; Chordata; Testudines; Emydidae. The record is from RNAcentral.